RNAcentral lists this transfer-messenger RNA (400 nucleotides) under Patescibacteria group bacterium. It matches the Rfam family "transfer-messenger RNA". Rfam says of the family: Bacterial tmRNA, also known as 10Sa RNA or SsrA, is named for its dual tRNA and mRNA-like properties. Its role is to liberate the mRNA from a stalled ribosome. To accomplish this part of the tmRNA is used as a reading frame that ends in a translation stop signal. The record is from RNAcentral.
GGGGAUGCAAGGCAUAGACAGUAGGCCUCUUGUUAUUGAUGCAUACCGAGCAUGGACGUAAUCUCGUAAAAAUUCGUCUAAAUGUUAAUUGCAAAAUUAGCUUCUAAGGUGAAAGCUUCAGUUUCUCCAUACUUCGGUAUGAAUGAAUUCGCUUUCGCUCUAGCUUAACUUAGGUUCGGCUAGUGUCUCUCUUAUAGACUUCCGAUAUAUAAGAUGGGGCAACAUAUUAUCGGGAUAGUUCCCUCGCCUGUUCCGACGAGAGAGCAAAACAAAGGAACUCGAUUAAAAAAUAUUUGGCUCGCUUAAGAAUUUUUUAAUUAAAACCAAAAAGCGUGCUACGUAUGUAGACUUCUUUACAAUAACCUUCUGCACGGGGAUUCAAUUUCCCCCAUCUCCACUA